Molecule: long non-coding RNA, 520 nt
Filed under: Panax ginseng (ginseng)
Lineage: Eukaryota; Viridiplantae; Streptophyta; Magnoliopsida; Apiales; Araliaceae
Description: long non-coding RNA (PGIN_LNC013224)
Source: RNAcentral
UUUGUGUUAAUAACAUCGCACUCAUAAAUGCAUACGAUCUUCUACUCAAUACGUCAGCUACCACGUUCGCUCUUCCACGAUGAUAUUGAAUGGUAUGUUCGUAAUCUUCAACAGCUCGAGCCAACGUCUUUGGCGAAUUAUACGUUCGUUUUGGUUGAAGAAAUAUUUAAGGGUUUUAGAAAUGGGUUUUGUAUUGGGGUCAAUACAAAAUUCGAUUUCACGCUCUAGGGUAGGCUAGGAAGUCUUCAAGAAUACGUCAGGAAAUUUAUUAACAAUAGAAAUAUCAUUCAAAACUGUGACUCUCAUCCAAGACUUAGAUAACACGUCACAUUAAUACCUAUUAACUUGCCACUAUUAUUCACGCGUCCACUACGGAAAGUUCGACUUCGGUGCAUUCCACACAAGGAAGUCACCAGCGAAAGGCUCGGGGCUAUUUACGUAUGGCUUGAUAUGACAAUGAUUGACUUUUAGUGGUUUGGUUGCUUGAAUUUUUAUAAUAGGUUGGUUAGGAAUAUGGAAG